GGUCCCGUAGCUCAGUUGAUUAGAGUGUUGGUCUUAUGAGCCGAAGGUCGCGGGUUUGAGCUCGCCGAGACCA
Molecule: transfer RNA, 73 nt
Filed under: Jatropha curcas
Lineage: Eukaryota; Viridiplantae; Streptophyta; Magnoliopsida; Malpighiales; Euphorbiaceae
Rfam family: tRNA
About the family: Transfer RNA (tRNA) molecules are approximately 80 nucleotides in length.
Source: Rfam by way of RNAcentral